RNAcentral lists this ribosomal RNA (448 nucleotides) under Aricidea cf. catherinae JL-2018. Its description in RNAcentral is "partial large subunit ribosomal RNA". It matches the Rfam family "Bacterial large subunit ribosomal RNA", at positions 1940 to 2605 of the family's 2925-position model. The record is from RNAcentral. Lineage: Eukaryota; Metazoa; Annelida; Polychaeta; Paraonidae.
UCCUGACCGUGCUAAGGUAGCAUAAUCCCUUGCCUCUUAAUUAGUGGCUAGUAUGAAUGGAUAAACAAGAAUUAUACUGUCUCUAUAAGAAAUCUAAAAAUUAUUCCUCAAGUGAAGAAACUUGAAUUAAAAUAAAAGACAAGAAGACCCUGUAGAGCCUUAAUAUUAAAAUAACCCAAAAAUAAUCAUAAAUUAACUCUUAAACAAUAUUUUAGUUGGGGCGACUAAGGAAUGUACUAAAACCCUCCUUAUUCUUGAAGGCUUACAAGCCACUUAAUGAUCCAUUUCUAUGCUCAACGAACUAGGCUACCUCAGGGAUAACAGUCUAAUCUUCCUUAAGAGCCCAAAUUGACAGGAAGGAUUGGCACCUCGAUGUUGGCUUAGGAAAUCUCUAUGGUGCAGCCGCCGUAAGAGUAGGUUUGUUCAACCUUUAAUAUCCUACGUGAUC